AAAAUACUAGUAAUAAAAAUGCACCGAUGUCUCUAGUGCCUAGAACAAUACCUGGCAUAUAGCAAAUGCACAUUAGAACAGCACAUGUCUGAACUC
Vicugna pacos (alpaca) is the source of this 96-nucleotide non-coding RNA. NCBI's taxonomy places the organism in Eukaryota, Metazoa, Chordata, Mammalia, Artiodactyla, Camelidae. The record is from RefSeq and is a predicted model, not a curated record.